This 853-nucleotide ribosomal RNA is filed under the name uncultured bacterium. RNAcentral's name for it is "bacterial SSU rRNA". It matches the Rfam family "Bacterial small subunit ribosomal RNA", at positions 569 to 1425 of the family's 1533-position model. The record is from RNAcentral.
GCGUAGGCGGCUUUUUAAGUCAGGGGUGAAAGACGGUGGCUCAACCAUCGCAGUGCCCUUGAUACUGAAGAGCUUGAAUACAUUAGAGGUAGGCGGAAUGUGACAAGUAGCGGUGAGAUGCAUAGAUAUGUCACAGAACACCGAUUGCGAAGGCAGCUUACUAUGAUGAGAUUGACGCUGAGGCACGAAAGCGUGGGGAUCAAACAGGAUUAGAUACCCUGGUAGUCCACGCCCUAAACGAUGAAUACUCGCUGUUAGCGAUACACAGUUAGCGGCUAAGCGAAAGCGUUAAGUAUUCCACCUGGGGAGUACGGUCGCAAGAUUGAAACUCAAAGGAAUUGACGGGGGCCCGCACAAGCGGAGGAGCAUGUGGUUUAAUUCGAUGAUACGCGAGGAACCUUACCCGGGCUUGAAAGUUAGUGAAUCAUUUAGAGAUAGAUGAGUGAGCAAUCACACGAAACUAGGUGCUGCAUGGCUGUCGUCAGCUCGUGCCGUGAGGUGUUGGGUUAAGUCCCGCAACGAGCGCAACCCCUAUGUUUAGUUGCCAGCACGUUAAGGUGGGGACUCUAAACAGACUGCCUGUGCAAACAGAGAGGAAGGAGGGGACGACGUCAAGUCAUCAUGGCCCUUACGUCCGGGGCUACACACGUGCUACAAUGGAUGGUACAGAGGGCAGCAAGCUGGCAACAGCAAGCGAAUCUCCAAAAGCCAUUCACAGUUCGGAUAGAGGUCUGCAACUCGACCUCUUGAAGUUGGAUUCGCUAGUAAUCGCAUAUCAGCAAUGAUGCGGUGAAUACGUUCCCGGGCCUUGUACACACCGCCCGUCAAGCCAUGGAAGUUGGGGGUACCUAAA